UGAUCAAGAUAUAGGAUUCAUCGCGGUUGUGACAGUUCGACAGUGUGGAUUAGGCAGGUUUCGUGACCAGGAGGAUGUCGUUGUUUCAAGCCUCAGACGUUUACAGACAAUGAUUGCCCCUUCACCACACGUUCGACAUUUACAAAUGAGAAUCAUUGAUGAAAGGCGAAGAUAAAGAACAGUGAUCAUAACUCCUAUCAGCAAUACAAAAUAGAUUUGGGCAAACACGGACCCCUUGACACACCAGAGGUGGAAUCAGCAGCCCAGGAAGAGUAAGCAUCCCCUGUCGACCGGUCACACUCGCCGUGAGCCCCACAUUCCGAUCAAGUAAACGGAGUUAUACGUAGUCAAAAUCAGUGUGCCAAGAAGGGCCCAACAAUCGGCAUGUAACACGUCAGACAGCAUUUGACCCAAUGAUAGGCCGCAUCGGCAAACUAGAUCGUUAUAACGAGCAUAGAAUUUGCGAAACGCCGAUUUUAAACGAGACUGUUGGAACCCCUGCACCAUCAACUUGUUUGUCAGUAGCCUGCUUCGAUUUAAAACCGGACCAUACGCAGAAACACCUCUUGCGUGUCGAAUCAGUUGAGAGAUGCUAACAUCAUAUGGAGGUGAUAAUUGAAUAUUGCUACAUAAAUAUGGGAAGUUGACGAUGGAGAAGCCGAAAUCAUCCCUCCUGUAACAAAGCCGAGCUGCCACCCUGUCGCCAACAUCCACCCUCAACAAAACAUCCAAGCACGAAGCAGAAACGGACGACCCUGCGGCGUCCCUCACCCCUAGCCCACCGGGAUAUAUUGAAUCUUCACAUGAAUGAAAAUUGUCAUUGUUAAUAUAUAAUACAUCGUUGAUAUACCUAAAUGUCGAGUUGAAGAUAUUGUGAAUGAGGAACUCCAGCAUAUUUUUUAUUUCAACUUCAGAGUACUUGUGCGUGGAAUCAGAGUGAAGUUUAACAAAGUAAUUUUUUAUGACUGAUCACUAGAUAGGAAUAUUUGCGAUAUCCAUUCUUGUUGAAGAAGCAACUGUGUAUGA
Molecule: long non-coding RNA, 1026 nt
Organism: Ostrea edulis (European flat oyster)
Lineage: Eukaryota; Metazoa; Mollusca; Bivalvia; Ostreida; Ostreidae
Exons: 2
Source: RefSeq, a predicted model, not a curated record